RNAcentral lists this ribosomal RNA (465 nucleotides) under uncultured bacterium. RNAcentral's name for it is "partial 16S ribosomal RNA". It matches the Rfam family "Bacterial small subunit ribosomal RNA", at positions 28 to 507 of the family's 1533-position model. The record is from RNAcentral.
GACGAACGCUGGCGGCGUGCUUAACACAUGCAAGUCGAACGGAAAGGCCCUGCUUGCAGGGUACUCGAGUGGCGAACGGGUGAGUAACACGUGGGUGAUCUGCCCUUCACUUCGGGAUAAGCCUGGGAAACUGGGUCUAAUAUCGGAUAGGAGCCAUUUUUAGUGUGAUGGUUGGAAAGUUUUUUCGGUGUAGGAUGAGCUUGCGGCCUCUCAGCUUGUUGGUGGGGUAAUGGCCUACCAAGGCGGCGACGGGUAGCCGGCCUGGGAGGGUGGACGGGCACAGUGGGACUGGGAUACGGCCCAGACUCCUACGGGAGGCAGCAGUAGGGAAUAUUGAACAAUGGGCGCAAGCCUGAUGCAGCGACGCCGCGUGGGGGAGGACGGCAUUCGGGUUGUAAACGCCUUUCGCUAGGGACGAAGCUUUUUGUGACGGUACCUAGAGAAGAAGCACCGGCUAACUACGUG